GACGAACGCUGGCGGCGUGCUUAACACAUGCAAGUCGAGCGGUAAGGCCCUUUCGGGGGUACACGAGCGGCGAACGGGUGAGUAACACGUGGGUGGCCUGCCUUUAGCUCUGGGAUAAGCCUGGGAAACUGGGUCUAAUACCGGAUAUGACCCUAUGGCGCAUGUUGUGGGGUGGAAAGCCUUGUGCGGCUAGGGAUGGGCCCGCGGCCUAUCAGCUUGUUGGUGGGGUGAUGGCCUACCAAGGCGA
RNAcentral lists this ribosomal RNA (247 nucleotides) under uncultured bacterium. Its description in RNAcentral is "partial 16S ribosomal RNA". It matches the Rfam family "Bacterial small subunit ribosomal RNA", at positions 28 to 276 of the family's 1533-position model. The record is from RNAcentral.